AGGGUCGGCUGGCUAAUGGACAGGACAUUGCUGUAAAAAGACUAUCCAAAAAUUCAAGACAAGGAGUAGAAGAAUUUAAGAAUGAAGUUAUGUUGAUUGCCAAGCUUCAACACAGGAAUCUUGUUAAACUUCUUGGAUGCUGCAUUGAGAGAGAAGAACAGAUGUUAGUUUAUGAAUACUUGCCAAACAAAAGCUUGGACUCGUUUCUUUUUGAUGAAGCAAGAAGCUCAUUUUUGGAUUGGGGAAAACGCUUCAAUAUUAUCAUUGGCAUUGCUCGCGGGAUCUUAUAUCUUCAUCAAGAC
Molecule: unclassified non-coding RNA, 302 nt
Filed under: Hevea brasiliensis (rubber tree)
Lineage: Eukaryota; Viridiplantae; Streptophyta; Magnoliopsida; Malpighiales; Euphorbiaceae
Source: RNAcentral